CCUCCACGUGCCUGUAUGACCUCCCUACAACGCCUGUGCAUGCUCCUGAUGAGGUGGCGGAUGGUCUCCUGAGGGAUCUCUUCCCAGACCUGGACUAAAGCAUCUGCCAACUCCUUGACAGUCUGUGGUGCAACGUGACGUUGGUGGAUGGAGCGAGACAUGAUGUCCCAGAUGUGCUCAAUUGGAUUCAGGUCUGGGGAACGGGCGGGCGAGUCC
This is a non-coding RNA of Pelobates cultripes (western spadefoot toad), 216 nucleotides long. NCBI's taxonomy places the organism in Eukaryota, Metazoa, Chordata, Amphibia, Anura, Pelobatidae. The record is from the annotation of a GenBank genome assembly.